Molecule: small RNA, 26 nt
Filed under: Bombyx mori (domestic silkworm)
Lineage: Eukaryota; Metazoa; Arthropoda; Insecta; Lepidoptera; Bombycidae
Description: ovarian small RNA-34952
Source: RNAcentral
UGGCUGUUGUGUGCCCCGACAUUGUG